RNAcentral lists this ribosomal RNA (253 nucleotides) under uncultured bacterium. RNAcentral describes it as "partial 16S ribosomal RNA". It matches the Rfam family "Bacterial small subunit ribosomal RNA", at positions 524 to 776 of the family's 1533-position model. The record is from RNAcentral.
UACGUAGGGUGCAAGCGUUGUCCGGAAUUAUUGGGCGUAAAGAGCUCGUAGGCGGUUUGUCGCGUCUGCUGUGAAAACGCGAGGCUCAACCUCGCGCCUGCAGUGGGUACGGGCAGACUAGAGUGUGGUAGGGGAGACUGGAAUUCCUGGUGUAGCGGUGAAAUGCGCAGAUAUCAGGAGGAACACCGGUGGCGAAGGCGGGUCUCUGGGCAACAACUGACGCUGAGGAGCGAAAGCGUGGGGAGCGAACAGG